GAUGAACGCUGGCGGCGUGCUUAACACAUGCAAGUCGAACGAGAAAUGGAGACGGACACCUUCGGGCGGAAGGCUUCAUUUCGAGUGGCGGACGGGUGAGUAACGCGUGGGUAACCUGCCUCAUACAGGGGGAUAACAGUUGGAAACGACUGUUAAUACCGCAUAAGACCACAGCACCGCAUGGUGCGGGGGUAAAAACUCCGGUGGUAUGAGAUGGACCCGCGUUCGAUUAGCCGGUUGGCGGGGUAACGGCCCACCAAAGCGACGAUCGAUAGCCGAUCUGAGAGGAUGACCGGCCACAUUGGGACUGAGACACGGCCCAAACUCCUACGGGAGGCAGCAGUGGGGAAUAUUGCACAAUGGGGGAAACCCUGAUGCAGCGACGCCGCGUGAGUGAAGAAGUACGGCGGUAUGUAAAGCUCUAUCAGCAGGGAAGAAAAUGACGGUACCUGAGUAAGAAGCCCCGGCUAACUACGUG
RNAcentral lists this ribosomal RNA (478 nucleotides) under uncultured bacterium. Its description in RNAcentral is "partial 16S ribosomal RNA". It matches the Rfam family "Bacterial small subunit ribosomal RNA", at positions 28 to 507 of the family's 1533-position model. The record is from RNAcentral.